GACAGAGGGUGCAAGCGUUGUUCGGAAUUAUUGGGCGUAAAGGGCGCGUAGGUGGCCUUGUAAGUCAGAUGUGAAAGCUCUGGGCUUAACCCAGAAAGUGCAUCUGAUACUGCUCGGCUUGAGUCUCGGAGAGGAUGGUGGAAUUCCCAGUGUAGAGGUGAAAUUCGUAGAUAUUCGGAAGAACACCAGUGGCGAAGGCGACUCGCUGGACAAGUAUUGACGCUGAGGUGCGAAAGCGUGGGGAGCAAACAGG
This 253-nucleotide ribosomal RNA is filed under the name uncultured bacterium. RNAcentral's name for it is "partial 16S ribosomal RNA". It matches the Rfam family "Bacterial small subunit ribosomal RNA", at positions 524 to 776 of the family's 1533-position model. The record is from RNAcentral.